This 4796-nucleotide unclassified non-coding RNA is filed under the name Drosophila ananassae. Its description in RNAcentral is "GF13024". Lineage: Eukaryota; Metazoa; Arthropoda; Insecta; Diptera; Drosophilidae. The record is from RNAcentral.
UCGCGAGUGCAGAAGCGGUAACGGUAAACCUACGGCCGUACAAACUACGGUCUUCCGACGUAGGCGUAGCAUUAGUGUAGUGCAGUGUAGUGUUUUGAAUUUCGGUUAAGUGAAGUGAAGACGGGGGUUGAAAAUAGCCAUAAAAUACAAAUACGAGUCGGAAAAGCGUCAAAAGCCAGUCAUAAAAUUUUACAGAGUGACUUUGCCAAAAAUAUAAAGAAAGAAAAAGAAAGUAAAAGCUUAAUACAAAAGAAAUAAAAACAAGUGCUUGGCUCAGUGGUUUCUUGUGGUGCGAAGAAAUCUCACGAAGAAAAUCCCUCCAGAGGAGAGAAAAAGGCAAAAAUCCAAUAGAAACAAGGCCCACUGUGCGUUGAGCCGCACAUAAUGGAAGUCUGAAGAAAGUGUCACUAAUUGAACGCUUAUUGUCUGGACAUUCGCAGGACAUCUGGUAAUUGAAUGGGAGUUUGCUGGACAAGAGGGACCUCCAGCUCAGCUGCCAAGUCAGAAUGUUUGAGCAUCGAUUAGUUCAGAGUUGUGGCAGUUGAGGCAUCAAGGAGAGAGCUCGAGAUCAUCCUUCCCGCCCACUCACACGCCCGAUUUCCGGUUGGUGCGAUUGCUGAGUGAGUCCCGAGUGCUCGAGUGUGCGUGGGUGUGUGUGUGCGUGCGGUGGUGCCUGUGCGCUUGGGUGUAUUGGUGGUGGUUAGCAUGCAAAUCAACGGUCUUGCUGCCGGACCAACGAUGGCAGCCUCAGAGCCACCAGAGCCGCCGCCGCGCAAUCCGGAUCGCAUAAACGCCUCGCUGCACAAGCUGGGCGAAUCCAAAAUUGUGAAAUCCUUGGACUCCUCAGUGGUCACAACAUUGAAGGAGAAGACGGGCUCGGUCAACAAUAACAAGCCCAUAAGGCCACUACUUUCGCUGGACAACUCUGUCAUUGCUUCGACCUCGGGUGGAGCAAGUGGAGGAGCUCCUGUCAAGCCGUCACCACUGGUUUUGGCCUCUAAACGAGACCUCACGCCCAGCAACGAGAGCGGCUCAUCGCCGGCCAGCUCGAAUGGCAGCAACCAGACCCUCACCCCACCCAUGACCGCUGACAAUCAGCCCCUCCAAUUGCAGCAGCAGCAGCAGCAACAGCACCACAGGUCACCUGCGUAUCCUGGGAAAGGAGAACCUGCCGCUGGGACACAUCAGCAGCAGCAUCAGCAGCAGCAGCAACAGCAUCAGCAGCAAUUACCGAAUGGCACCGGCAACACCAGCCACACAGCCAUGAUCCAUGCGAAUAACUCGAAUUUAAUUGCCGCAGGUCACUUGGCUCAGCCGGCAGGCUCCGGGUCUGCCACCGUCUCCGGGUCCGGAUCCGGACCCAGCCCCUCCAGCGCUGGUGCACUCAAUGCAGUUGACAAGCGAAAUGCCAACGAUGUGUGCUCGAUUGCCAAAUUAACGGACCCGGACGUUUUGGCCCUGAGUAUGAAUAUGGUGGGACCACCGCACUCGCCGACCUCCGCCGCCUCGGCGGCCCUGCUCCUGCUGGAGGAGUCCUGCGACGGCAAUCGCAACGACGAGUCAAGGUUCCAUGUGCCCGGAUCAGAGUCCGCCAUGAAGCUGCGCGAGGAAAACGAGCGUCUCAACUCCGAACUGCUUCGGCUAAGGCGACUCCUUGAACUUUCCACAGAUGGAGCCGUCGGUGGUGUGGAUGCCACACCUGACACGGAGGCAGGUGGAUCCGCUGAAGGAUCUGCUGUCAAGGAGCGCGUUGAACGGCUGGAGUCCGAGCUGAGAUCCGUCAAGAAUCAGCUCCUGACCAUGCGGCUGGAGCGCAAGAAACUCCGGACGGACAAGUCCGAUCUACUGGGACAGGUGAAGCAACUAUGCGCCUCGUUGCAAGAGAAGGAGCAGGAGCUGCGCGACUUCAUACGAAACUAUCAGGAGCGAGUUCGGGAAACGGAAACGACAAAUGCGAAGAUUUCCGGCGAUCGGGACCGCGAGAGAUUCCAGCUCCUGAAGCAGGCUCGGGAUGAGGCGGAGCGCUCUCUGGCUUUGGCCCAGCAACUAUCCUCCCGAGAUCUCCAGCUCCAGAGGCUGCAGGAACAGCUCCAGGAGGCUCGGCGGCAGCUGACUGGAUGCCUCUCUGACCAGGAGAGCCUCCACUCGUUCGCCCCACUGACUCCACCUUCCGCCGCAUCCGGAAUGCUCAGCCAAAUGGUGGCCGGCUCCGGAAUGGGUGGUGGCUUGGCCGGCAUUCGGGGCACCACCGAAGACAGUGGUCGUGGCAACUCGUUGUCCGCCUUUAGCGGCAGUCUGAGUGGCGGCUCCGGAGCCACGGCAGGGGAUCGGAACUCCUGUUCAAAUGACUCCGGAUUGAGGAACAGCAGCGAUCGCGAAAGCACCGGCGGGGAGUUGAAUUUCAGUGACGGAACCUGUGACAAUGGUCCCUGCAUCACGGUGGAUCCGGACAGCAUCUCGCUGGUGUCCAGCCAGAAUAUGUAUCAAUUUGGAACCCCCAAAGAACGGAGCCCCACACUAUCUCCUCUGAAUUCAGCGGCUUAUUCCAGGUCGGUAGAGCAGUUGGGCUCUCCGGUGGAUCCCGAAGGCCCUGGUGGUGGCGCCAUAAGCCGGAAGUUUGCCGCCGCCAGUAAGAGUGGCCCUCUGGGGGCUCGUAAUGGUCGCGGCGGUACUUGGGGAAGUAUAUCCCGGGUCUUUGCUCGAUCCCGAAACAAGAGCAAGGCCCUAUCCGCUGAUGGAGUGACUGAAUAUGCCGACUACUCGUGGAAUCCUUUGACGGAGGAGGGCUACGCCGAGAAGCUGCGUCUGCUGCGCGAGGCCUCCCAGUUGCCCAUCGAUCGCUGGCGUGCCACACAGGUCCUGGCCUGGCUGGAGGUGGCUCUGGGUAUGCCCCAGUAUAGUGCCAGGUGUGCGGAGAAUGUGAAGAGCGGCAAAGUCCUUCUCGAACUAAACGAUGUGGAGUUGGAGGCGGGACUGGGACUGGCCCAUCCCAUGCACCGUAAAAAGCUACGGCUGGCCAUCGAGGAGCAGCGGCGACCGGAACUGGUCCGAUAUCCGCUAAUCACGCAACUGGGACACACCUGGGUGGCCUCCGAGUGGCUGCCGGACAUCGGGCUGCCCCAGUAUGCGGAGCCGUUCGUCCAGUCCCUGGUCGAUGCCCGAAUGCUGGACACGCUCUCCAAGAAGGAGCUGGAGAAGUUCUUGGGCGUCACACGGAAGUUCCAUCAGGCCAGCAUUGUGCAUGGCAUCCACGUGUUGCGCAUCGUCAAGUACGACAGACAGACGCUGGCCAUGCGCCGAGUGCAAUCGGAGACGGUGGACACGGACCCCAUUGUUUGGACUAACCAGCGAUUCAUCCGCUGGGUGCGAUCCAUCGACCUGGGCGAGUACGCCGACAAUUUGAAGGACAGCGGAGUGCACGGCGGGCUGGUGGUGUUGGAGCCAUCCUUUUCCGGUGACACCAUGGCCACGGCAUUGGGUAUUCCCCCCUCGAAGAACAUAAUACGGCGACAUCUAAACACGGAAUUUGAUGCGCUUAUUUUGCCUGCACGAUACAUUAUUUACUGUCAAAUGGAAGAAUUUCAAAUGGAAGCCUCCAGACAAUUGGCCAAAUUGCAGGGCCAUUAAAUCCGCAUGAACCACAAAAAAUACAAAGAGAAAAAAAUACAUAAAAAAUCAAAAAAAACUUUAAAUGGGAUUCAUACUGAUUUGUUUAGCCAAGCUGAUGAUGAUGAUACGAUAAUAACUUUAGGGAGAGAACAAUAACUGGAGCACAGCGCUAGUCAUUUUGUCAUUACGAGUAGUUGAUAGUUGAUUCACGGCAGAAUAAUCACGACUCGAUUAGCAAUCAUACAUUAUAUUAUUAAGUGCUUUAGGCAUCGAAUAUAGGAAAGCACGCAAUUAAACAGAAAAAUAUAAAACAAAAAACCAUGUGUCCAAGCUUUGCAUAUCCGAAAUAUCGAAAUGAACUCCCCGAGGAGCGCUUAACGUUGCAUUUAAUUAGGUUGAUUUACAAGUCAAGCAUUUAAUGUAGUUAAAAAAGAAAACAAAACCGCAUAAUUAAGACUUUUUCGUCAAUGUAAUCGAUAUAUACAAGAUAGUCAAGUUUUUUGCAUUAAAAAUGCCAUUGUACACCGUUUCAAAGACACACAAUUAGGCGGCUUUCGUUACUAGCCCCGGUACACACUAGGUCACUGUGAUACAGGGAGCCCUCCCUGUUUACUAAGCUCGGUUAGACAGGCCACCAACGCACAAUUGAACCUUAAAGACCAAUUACAUGACCACACAUUCACAAACACAUAUACAUAUACAUAUACAUAGACACGAGCAUACACAUACAUCUACAUACAUUGCCGUGGUUAAUUAAUUUACUCCAUGUUUGUUGUUGCAUACUGUGAGGCGCUUUAAGUGAGUUGGUUCUGCGGUCUCUAAAGUUUCACAAAAAUUAAAAACACACACAAAACAUUGUAUGGAUAGUUGUGGAAAACUUUAACAAAUUUAAACGAAAAGUUUAGGCGUCCAAAGUCCAAAGAAUAAAAAGUGAAGAUAAUCUGGAUAUUUUAGUUAGUUGAAUUGCAUUUAAGAAAUAAUAGCAUACAUUUGAGCGCUUGCCUAAACGACCGCAGGACUCUCUCCCAUAAGUCAAUAAGUUUUCUCUAAGAAGUCGUUAUUUUGGUUUUUGCAAUUUUGCAACUACAGUGUCAAUUAGCGACUCUGGGUCAAGGCAUCCGUUCCGGUUGCGGCGUAGUGCCACUGACAGGACCCGGCGGAUUGCAGCACUAUGCCACAACAGAUCG